This 71-nucleotide transfer RNA is filed under the name Formica candida. Its description in RNAcentral is "tRNA-Lys". Lineage: Eukaryota; Metazoa; Arthropoda; Insecta; Hymenoptera; Formicidae. The record is from RNAcentral.
CAUUAAAUGACCGAAUUGUAAGUUUUGAUUUUUUAAAUCAAUUAUAAUAGUUUAACAUCUAUUUUUAAUGA